RNAcentral lists this ribosomal RNA (490 nucleotides) under uncultured bacterium. RNAcentral's name for it is "bacterial SSU rRNA". It matches the Rfam family "Bacterial small subunit ribosomal RNA", at positions 28 to 506 of the family's 1533-position model. The record is from RNAcentral.
GAUGAACGCUAGCUACAGGCUUAACACAUGCAAGUCGAGGGGCAGCAUGGUCUUAGCUUGCUAAGGCCGAUGGCGACCGGCGCACGGGUGAGUAACACGUAUCCAACCUGCCGUCUACUCUUGGACAGCCUUCUGAAAGGAAGAUUAAUACAAGAUGGCAUCAUGAGUCCGCAUGUUCACAUGAUUAAAGGUAUUCCGGUAGACGAUGGGGAUGCGUUCCAUUAGAUAGUAGGCGGGGUAACGGCCCACCUAGUCUUCGAUGGAUAGGGGUUCUGAGAGGAAGGUCCCCCACAUUGGAACUGAGACACGGUCCAAACUCCUACGGGAGGCAGCAGUGAGGAAUAUUGGUCAAUGGGCGAGAGCCUGAACCAGCCAAGUAGCGUGAAGGAUGACUGCCCUAUGGGUUGUAAACUUCUUUUAUAUAAGAAUAAAGUGCAGUAUGUAUACUGUUUUGUAUGUAAUUAUAUGAAUAAGGAUCGGCUAACUCCGU